RNAcentral lists this ribosomal RNA (253 nucleotides) under uncultured bacterium. Its description in RNAcentral is "partial 16S ribosomal RNA". It matches the Rfam family "Bacterial small subunit ribosomal RNA", at positions 524 to 776 of the family's 1533-position model. The record is from RNAcentral.
GACGUAGGGCGCGAGCGUUGUCCGGAAUUAUUGGGCGUAAAGCGCACGUAGGCGGCUUUGCAAGUCCCAUGUGAAAUCCCACGGCUUAACCGUGGAAGUGCAUGGGAAACUGCAGAGCUUGAGUACUUAAGAGGAUCGCGGAAUUCCCGGUGUAGAGGUGAAAUUCGUAGAUAUCGGGAGGAACACCAGUGGCGAAGGCGGCGAUCUGGGAAGAUACUGACGCUGAGGUGCGAAAGCGUGGGGAGCAAACAGG